CGGCUCCCGGCGGGACGCCCGCUCACUUAUGGCGGCUCCCGGCAGGACGCCCGCUCACAUAUACCGGCUCCCGGCGGACGCCCGCUCACUAUGGCGGCGGGCGUCGGUCGUGGAAC
This 116-nucleotide ribosomal RNA is filed under the name Arthrobacter sp. Hiyo8. Lineage: Bacteria; Bacillati; Actinomycetota; Actinomycetes; Micrococcales; Micrococcaceae. The record is from RNAcentral.